RNAcentral lists this ribosomal RNA (471 nucleotides) under uncultured bacterium. Its description in RNAcentral is "bacterial SSU rRNA". It matches the Rfam family "Bacterial small subunit ribosomal RNA", at positions 355 to 825 of the family's 1533-position model. The record is from RNAcentral.
UCGCGAAUCAUUCACAAUGGACGCAAGUCUGAUGAUGCCACGCCGCGUGCGGGAUGAAGGCCCUUUGGGUUGUAAACCGCUGUCAAGGGAGGGGAAACACCUAGUGUUAACAGCGCUAGGCUUGACUGCUCCCUAAAGGAAGCCCCGGCAAAACAUGUGCCAGCAGCCGCGGUAAUACAUGCGGGGCAAGCGUUGUUCGGAAUUACUGGGCGUAAAGCGCGCGUAGGUGGUUAGUUAAGUUGGAUGUGAAAUCCCCGGGCUCAACCUGGGAACUGCAUUCAAAACUGACUGACUAGAGUAUGGUAGAGGGUGGUGGAAUUUCCUGUGUAGCGGUGAAAUGCGUAGAUAUAGGAAGGAACACCAGUGGCGAAGGCGACCACCUGGACUGAUACUGACACUGAGGUGCGAAAGCGUGGGGAGCAAACAGGAUUAGAUACCCACGUAGUCCCUGAGCGGGCUGGCAAGGCGCAU